UAAGGAAUAUUGGUCAAUGGGCGGAAGCCUGAACCAGCCAUGCCGCGUGCAGGAUGACUGCCCUAUGGGUUGUAAACUGCUUUUGUCCAGGAAUAAACCUUUCUACGUGUAGGAAGCUGAAUGUACUGGAAGAAUAAGGAUCGGCUAACUCCGUGCCAGCAGCCGCGGUAAUACGGAGGAUCCGAGCGUUAUCCGGAUUUAUUGGGUUUAAAGGGUGCGUAGGCGGCCUAUUAAGUCAGGGGUGAAAUACGGUGGCUCAACCAUCGCAGUGCCUUUGAUACUGAUGGGCUUGAAUCCAUUUGAAGUGGGCGGAAUAAGACAAGUAGCGGUGAAAUGCAUAGAUAUGUCUUAGAACUCCGAUUGCGAAGGCAGCUCACUAAGCUGGUAUUGACGCUGAUGCACGAAAGCGUGGGGAUCGAACAGGAUUAGAUACCCUGGUAGUCCACGCCCUAAACGAUGAUAACUCGAUGUUGGCGAUAGACAGCCAGCGUCCAAGCGAAAGCGUUAAGUUAUCCACCUGGGGAGUACGCCCGCAAGGGUGAAAC
RNAcentral lists this ribosomal RNA (545 nucleotides) under uncultured bacterium. RNAcentral's name for it is "partial 16S ribosomal RNA". It matches the Rfam family "Bacterial small subunit ribosomal RNA", at positions 355 to 900 of the family's 1533-position model. The record is from RNAcentral.